UUGAGCCCAUAUAUUUUUUCUUCCCUAACAGAUCUCGGUUGCGGUAAUUAGGACGAACCCUACCUCAGCUCGCCGCACAAGCGAUGAUUGUGGCGGCAGCAUCAGGCUCCUCACCUUCCAAAAACUCAAGCGCCUACCUGUCUCCUCGCCGUUCUCUGAUUCUCCGUCCGCACACCGGCGACCAACUGGGCUUAUGGUUUUUGGGGGAAAAAAGGGACAGGGAACGGAGAGAUGUUGUGCCACCAUCGCCACUCGCCAUGGUCCUCUUGUCUUCUAUAUCUGCACAAGCCGCCUUUUUCCUCUCCUUCCUCUCAAUCGUAAUCAAUGAGAUGUAUUUCUUAUUUGUGCACAUGUGUUUUCUUAGGGAUUUUCUGGAAUAUGCUAGCGCGUGUACCCAAGGACUCCCCUUCAAAUUAUGCAGUUUGAAGACGUGGACGUGCAGUGGAGGACAUGUUUCUGCGAGAGAGAAAGCCAAGAGCAAAAUAUGAAGAUUUUACUUGCAUCCUUUAGCCAUGUAAAAAGCGAAAAAUGCUGGCUACAAGUCAAUGGAUCAAUGAUGUGAAAGGCUGUUAUGCUAAUGAAGUUCACAUAAGGAAUAUUGCUUGGAUAAUGAUGAUCAGACCCUUUGUUUCUACUCUCUCAAGGUAUAUUUUGGGCCUGAUUAUUGAUGUGCUUCGUUAUCCAGAUUUUGUUCCAGAAAUCAAGCAGUCCCAAAAUCACAUUUCAAACAAUCUACAUAGGUUAUGAAUAAACCAUCAAGUUCCAUAUCCUUUUGAAAAGUAUCGCUCUGCCAAAUGAUGCAUAUAUUAAAUGGAGCUGCCAUACCAUUAUUGUUAGUCUAAAAAAAGAAAUAGGGUAUAUUGUUAUCCUCAUAUUUGAUAGAUCCUUGACCUUCUAAUUGAGAUUUUUAGUUACCUUUUGAGAGGAUGGUGUGAAUAGAAUUCUUCAGAUACCUUUGCGCAAAAUGGCUGCAGAUUAUGUGGUGUGGCAGUUGGAUAGCAAAGGUCUACACUCUGUUAAACAAGCCUACAAGGUUCACGUUUAGUUGGACAAUUAGUUCCAUGGGCUGGAUGCAGGAAGCAUCUCAAUUAAUCCUGGAAAUAUUGAAGCUCUGAUGACAGCUUCUGAUGCCGCGUCUAGGUUUUAUCUUGGCUUCCAAAUUAUAGAUGUUUGCUCACAUAGUACCGCACAAUUCCCUGACUCUGCGUGUAAACCUGAAAAUUGGAGGAAUUUUCAUGGACGAGUUUUUUAGUCAAAUGAAAAGUGAUUAAAGAAACAUGGCGAGGACUCUGUCUGGAGCAAUGCAGAUCUGAGCUGGCAGAGAUGCAAUUGAUCAGGGCUACUGUUCUCAUAAUCAUGAAAUUUCCAUAACUAAUAUAUGUUUUAAGGUCCUUGCUGGUGGCAACGGUGGAAUAAAAGAAACAAGAUUCAAGGGGAUGAUACACCAAUGUCAACACAUGAAGUGAUGCAUAAGAUGGUCUCCUAUACAAUCGAGCACCUAGAAUUGUUCAAGAAGGAGAAAUGCAAGGAAAAGAAUGAUAAGGGUACAAGUGAAAGCUGCGGCUGAUGGAUGUUCAAAUUUAAUGUAAAUGGCUCUUCCAUUCCUAGGGAUGCCUUGGCCGGUUGGGGUGUAAUUGGGGCAGACGAUAAGGAAGAGGUCGUAGCUGCUCUAUGGGAAUGAAAGGUCACGUCCAAGAUGCCUUCUGAGCCGAACUGUGUGCGCUAUCUGAAGUUGUUAGGCUGGUGCUAUUAGAAGUUGUGAAGGUGCAGCUGAAAACUUGAUUCUCAAGGUGCGAUAUCAACCAAUGCAGGAGAGAAGCAAACAUUCACGAGCUCAGUUAGUAGAUUAUUUCCUCUUAAUGGUUUUUUAUCCGGAGAGUUUCAUAGAACGGCAAGGUUGGCAAUUGUAAAGCGCAAUAUGCGCAGUUUGUCAUCGUAAUAAAGCUGAUUCUUACCCUCAAAAUUAACAAACGAUAAA
Lolium perenne is the source of this 1978-nucleotide long non-coding RNA. RefSeq lists it as uncharacterized. The record is from RefSeq and is a predicted model, not a curated record. NCBI's taxonomy places the organism in Eukaryota, Viridiplantae, Streptophyta, Magnoliopsida, Poales, Poaceae.